Molecule: long non-coding RNA, 1446 nt
Organism: Pocillopora damicornis (cauliflower coral)
Lineage: Eukaryota; Metazoa; Cnidaria; Anthozoa; Scleractinia; Pocilloporidae
Source: RefSeq, a predicted model, not a curated record
AAUUGAAAGUAAAAAUACAUGUAUUUAGGAGUAUUUAAUUUGCAUGUUAUAGGACCUUGUUAAGAAAUUUUCUUUUUCUCUUUUCUUAUAUAAAAUGAUAAUGUUAAACAGUCAACUAAAGGAUAAGCUGAGAAAAGUGGCUCGAAAAGGAAUAGCACUCUGCUUUGUUCAAAUGGAUGGAUAGGAUCUGCGGGGGCGCCUAAAGUAGCUUCUUAAAGCCUCAACCUGCGCCAAAGCUAUCAAUCAGCUUAUAAGACUUCGCUACUCUGUUCCACAGACGACGAGGCCGGGAAAUAGAACAAGUUUGGUAGAAAAUGGCAGAAGAAGACAUUAAGAAACAACUGGCUGAGAAAACUGCCGAGGCAGCUUCUUUGAAAGAAGAUCUAUCGAAGAAAGCUGCCGAAGUUACUAGUCUGCAAACACAAUGUGACGAAUUACGGCAAAAAUUGGAGCAGGUUCUGAAGCUGGCAGGAGACGGGAAGGAGGACCUGUUAGCUAAGAUACCAGGUGGCCUUGGCGGCAUGUUGGGCGCUGAAUCCAAAGAGGAAGAAAAACCAGCGGACGCUGCUAAAGAAGCUGCUGAAGAUGCUGCAGACGCUGCCAAAACUGCGCUCGCAUCUAUUUUUUAAUGAACACAAUUGUAUUGAUUAGCACAACGGCGUAAUAGGCCAAUCGAUCUCACAAUGAAUCGAAUUUUUUUCGUUAUUUCAUCAUUCUUUCGAACGAAGAUAAUAGUGGAUUUAAUUUUUUCAAUUUAGAGACUGAUGCUAGUUAUCCUGAAAUAUAUGCGAGGUUUGGUAUAUACGUUAGUUAAACUGUUUUACUCAAGUAGUUUUAAGGAGGAUUUUUCGCAUGCGAGCAUUGACUUCUUAGAAUUUACCUCAGACAUUUUUUGUUGUGAGCUUAAAGCUAACUGAAAAUUCCACCCAGAAAGGAUUCUAAAGUCAUUGAUAUUGGUUAUGAUAUUUCUCGCUUGUAAAUCAUUUUUGACUAUGGUAAAUUUGUUUCAAUAAAUGCAUAAUUUUCUGCAAUGUAGUCGACUGCUGGAGUGCAAAGCUAUCGCUUAAGACGCUUGCAGAUCAGUACAAUUUGUUUAUGAAACGAAACGUAUCGAACUCGAUGAAGUGAAAUGCAUCGACUGUCUGUUUGUGCAGGAAAGGUAAGGUCAGUUCACAAAUAAAAAUAAUGCAGAAUUACGUAGUUUUGUAGCCUUACAGCGAUCCUAACUGCAACACCUCUAAAUUUCGUUUUCAAGCUGUCUCUUGAAGAUUUUAAUCAAAGAAACCAAGACAAGUCCCUCAGCUUUUCUAUAACUCAAGCGAAAGAGACCAUCAAUGCGAAGAAAAAAAAGAAACAAACUUUCAAAAGCACCUCCAUUUGUUAAAAGAAAUAUCUGUUAAGUACUUGAUAUUAAAUAAAAUGUCGCGUAUUAUGCGUGGUUAUCAA